Molecule: ribosomal RNA, 330 nt
Filed under: uncultured bacterium
Lineage: Bacteria
Description: bacterial SSU rRNA
Rfam family: Bacterial small subunit ribosomal RNA
Source: RNAcentral
CGUGUAGGCGGUAAUGUAAGUCAGACGUGAAAUCCUUUGGCUCAACUGAAGAACUGCGUCUGAAACUGCAUGACUAGAGUGCAGAAGAGGGAAACGGAAUUCCUGGUGUAGAGGUGAAAUUCGUAGAUAUCAGGAGGAACACCGGUGGCGAAGGCGGUUUCCUGGUCUGACACUGACGCUGAGGCGCGAAAGCGUGGGAGCAAACAGGAUUAGAUACCCUGGUAGUCCACGCCGUAAACGGUGGGUACUGGGUGUGGGAGGUGUAAUGCCUUCUGUGCCGAAGCUAACGCGUUAAGUACCCCGCCUGGGGAGUACGGCCGCAAGGUUGAA